UGCCCAAGAGAUCGGGAUAACACCUGGAAACAGAUGCUAAUACCGGAUAACAAUAGAUGAUGCCUAUCAACUGUUUAAAAGAUGGUUCUGCUAUCACUCUUGGAUGGACCUGCGGUGCAUUAGCUAGUUGGUAGGGUAACGGCCUACCAAGGCGAUGAUGCAUAGCCGAGUUGAGAGACUGAUCGGCCACAUUGGGACUGAGACACGGCCCAAACUCCUACGGGAGGCAGCAGGU
RNAcentral lists this ribosomal RNA (235 nucleotides) under uncultured Lactobacillus sp. Its description in RNAcentral is "partial 16S ribosomal RNA". It matches the Rfam family "Bacterial small subunit ribosomal RNA", at positions 127 to 354 of the family's 1533-position model. Lineage: Bacteria; Bacillati; Bacillota; Bacilli; Lactobacillales; Lactobacillaceae. The record is from RNAcentral.